RNAcentral lists this ribosomal RNA (492 nucleotides) under uncultured bacterium. Its description in RNAcentral is "partial 16S ribosomal RNA". It matches the Rfam family "Bacterial small subunit ribosomal RNA", at positions 29 to 507 of the family's 1533-position model. The record is from RNAcentral.
AGUGAACGCUGGCGGUAGGCCUAACACAUGCAAGUCGAACGGCAGCACAGUAAGAGCUUGCUCUUACGGGUGGCGAGUGGCGGACGGGUGAGGAAUACAUCGGAAUCUACUUUUUCGUGGGGGAUAACGUAGGGAAACUUACGCUAAUACCGCAUACGACCUACGGGUGAAAGCAGGGGAUCUUCGGACCUUGCGCGAUUGAAUGAGCCGAUGUCGGAUUAGCUAGUUGGCGGGGUAAAGGCCCACCAAGGCGACGAUCCGUAGCUGGUCUGAGAGGAUGAUCAGCCACACUGGAACUGAGACACGGUCCAGACUCCUACGGGAGGCAGCAGUGGGGAAUCUUGCACAAUGGGCGCAAGCCUGAUCCAGCCAUGCCGCGUGGGUGAAGAAGGCCUUCGGGUUGUAAAGCCCUUUUGUUGGGAAAGAAAAGCAGCAGGUUAAUACCCCGCUGUUCUGACGGUACCCAAAGAAUAAGCACCGGCUAACUUCGUG